RNAcentral lists this long non-coding RNA (599 nucleotides) under Anser cygnoides (Swan goose). RNAcentral's name for it is "lncRNA (ENSACDG00005009428.1)". The record is from RNAcentral. Lineage: Eukaryota; Metazoa; Chordata; Aves; Anseriformes; Anatidae.
CCGCCUUCUCCAUCACUCUUGGUUGGAUCAAAACAGUAGAGACAAAAACUGAAACAUGCCCAGGGUGCAGAAGCAGAGAGGAAGAGAUUAUUUAAUGAAGUACGCUAAUGGUGGUGGGGAGAAAGGGGGCUGAUUUUCACAUCUCAGAAUUGUUGAGCCUACAAAUAUUACUGAAAUCACAUUUGGGAACAAAGCUCUGCUUUAAGCAAGUUCAUCCAUGAGUGUUGCUAAGCAAUGGAGAGAAGGCAAGAGAGAGGGAGAGUGCCUGACUUUAGGAUUAUAGAAGAACAGAGAGGAGAAAAGGCACCACGGUUUCUACAUAGCCUUAUUUAUAGUGAACAUUAAAGUUCUGUGUUUUCCUUGCCUGUCUUCCAAACUGUUCAUACCUCAAUUAAUCAGAUCUGGUUCAGUAUCUGUACCAACAUAUAUCCAGCUCGCAGAGGGUUGUGCUGCAUCCUGGAGCACCAGCAGUUACGCACCAGAACUGUUAACAUCUGUCUCCGGAUUAAACAGGGAAUUUAACAGCAGUCUGAAGUCCUACAGAACUGACAAGCUACUCAGUUAGGGAGACUCCAUGCUGGGUGACUCCCAGAAUCUCC